GGCGGGUUCGCCACCGGCUUCCUCCUCGGGUUCGUGCUGCUGAUCCAGCCCCAGUUCGGGUGGCUGGAGCAGCCCUUCGGCUCCAAGUCCAAAUCCAAGUACAAGGCGUAUCAGAUCAUCCUCCUGCUUCUUGCACUGGUCUUGUUGGCUGCAGGGUAAGCAUAAUUCGUGGUCAUACAGACUGAAAGCUCUCAACCAGAGUAUGUCGAUCCUAACAUUUGGUUAUGCAUUUGCAUCAGGUUUGCUGUUGGAUUGGUGAUGGUGUUCAGGGGAGAGAACGGCAACGACCACUGCCGCUGGUGCCACUUCCUCACCUGCGUGCCGACGUCAAGCUGGAAGUGUGACAAUUGAGCUGAACGGAGAUUAGUGACGCGUUAGCGUGCUUGCGUCUUGCAGAAGUGAGAACAUGCGCCCCCACCAUUGGAAACAAUGUCAAGAUAGAUACAUGUCCC
Molecule: long non-coding RNA, 452 nt
Filed under: Setaria italica (foxtail millet)
Lineage: Eukaryota; Viridiplantae; Streptophyta; Magnoliopsida; Poales; Poaceae
Description: long non-coding RNA (SITA_LNC005376)
Source: RNAcentral